UGAGGAAUAUUGGUCAAUGGGCGAGAGCCUGAACCAGCCAAGUCGCGUGAAGGACGACGGUUCUAUGGAUUGUAAACUUCUUUUGUAGAGGAAUAACGGCAGCUACGUGUAGCUGAGAUGCAUGUACUCUACGAAUAAGUAUCGGCUAACUCCGUGCCAGCAGCCGCGGUAAUACGGAGGAUACGAGCGUUAUCCGGAAUUAUUGGGUUUAAAGGGUGCGUAGGUGGCGUAUUAAGUCAGUGGUGAAAAGCUGCAGCUCAACUGUAGUCUUGCCGUUGAAACUGAUAUGCUAGAGAGGAGACGAGGUAUGCGGAAUGUGUGGUGUAGCGGUGAAAUGCAUAGAUAUCACACAGAACGCCGAUUGCGAAGGCAGCGUACCAGGCUCCGUCUGACACUGAGGCACGAAAGCGUGGGGAUCAAACAGGAUUAGAUACCCUGGUAGUCCACGCAGUAAACGAUGAAUACUAGAUUUUUGCGAUAUACUGUAAGAGUCUAAGCGAAAGCGAUAAGUAUUCCACCUGGGGAGUACGCCGGCAACGGUG
RNAcentral lists this ribosomal RNA (542 nucleotides) under uncultured bacterium. RNAcentral describes it as "bacterial SSU rRNA". It matches the Rfam family "Bacterial small subunit ribosomal RNA", at positions 355 to 896 of the family's 1533-position model. The record is from RNAcentral.